RNAcentral lists this ribosomal RNA (407 nucleotides) under uncultured bacterium. Its description in RNAcentral is "partial 16S ribosomal RNA". It matches the Rfam family "Bacterial small subunit ribosomal RNA", at positions 30 to 526 of the family's 1533-position model. The record is from RNAcentral.
AUUGAACGCUAGCGGGAUGCCUUACACAUGCAAGUCGAACGGAGUGGCGAAAGGGUAAGUAAUGUAUCGGAACGUGCCCAGUAGCAGGGGAUAAAUACGCGGAAGCGUAGCUUAUACCGCAUACUAUUGGAGCGGCCGAUAUCGGAUUAGCUAGUUGGGGGGGGAACGGCUCACAAAGGCGACGAACCGUAGGUGGUUUGAGAGGACGACCAGCCACACUGGGACUGAGACACGGCCCAGACUCCUACGGGAGGCAGCAGUGGGGAAUUUUGGACAAUGGGGGAAACCCUGAUCCAGCCAUCCCGCGUGUGCGAUGAAGGCCUUCGGAUUGUAAAGCACUGUUGGCAGGAAAGCGGUACCUACAGAAUAAGCACCGGCUAACUACGUGCCAGCAGCCGCGGUAAUAC